This 255-nucleotide ribosomal RNA is filed under the name uncultured bacterium. Its description in RNAcentral is "partial 16S ribosomal RNA". It matches the Rfam family "Bacterial small subunit ribosomal RNA", at positions 524 to 776 of the family's 1533-position model. The record is from RNAcentral.
UACAGAGGGUGCGAGCGUUGUUCGGAAUUAUUGGGCGUAAAGCGCUUGUAGGCGGCACGUCAAGUCGCGUGUGAAAUCCCCAGGCUUAACCUGGGAAGUGCGCGCGAAACUGACGAGCUUGAGUGCCGGAGAGGGUCGCGGAAUUCCCGGUGUAGAGGUGAAAUUCGUAGAUAUCGGGAGGAACACCAGUGGCGAAGGCGGCGAUCUGGGGAAGAUACUGACGCUGAGGUGCGAAAGCGUGGGGGAGCGAACGGG